GAUGAACGCUGACAGAAUGCUUAACACAUGCAAGUCUACUUGAAUUUGGGUUUUUAACUUAGGUUUGGGUGGCGGACGGGUGAGUAACGCGUAAAGAACUUGCCUCACAGCUAGGGACAACAUUUAGAAAUGAAUGCUAAUACCUAAUAUUAUGAUAAUAGGGCAUCCUAUAAUUAUGAAAGCUAUAUGCGCUGUGAGAGAGCUUUGCGCCCUAUUAGCUAGUUGGUAAGGUAAAGGCUUACCAAGGCGAUGAUAGGUAGCCGGCCUGAGAGGGUGGACGGCCACAAGGGGACUGAGAUACGGCCCUUACUCCUACGGGAGGCAGCAGUGGGGAAUAUUGGACAAUGGAGGAAACUCUGAUCCAGCAAUUCUGUGUGUGUGAAGAAGGUCUUCGGAUUGUAAAACACUUUUAGUUGGGAAGAAACAAAUGA
This 431-nucleotide ribosomal RNA is filed under the name Fusobacteria bacterium oral taxon 220. RNAcentral describes it as "bacterial SSU rRNA". It matches the Rfam family "Bacterial small subunit ribosomal RNA", at positions 28 to 457 of the family's 1533-position model. Lineage: Bacteria; Fusobacteriati; Fusobacteriota. The record is from RNAcentral.